AUGUGUAUCGAAAAGUCAAAAGGAGGUCUCGGAUUUCGGGAUUUUGAAACCUUCAAUGACGCGAUGCUGGCCAAGCAAGCAUGGAGAAUUCUUGACAAUCCAAACAGCUUGUGUGCCCGAGUUCUAAAGGGAAGAUAUUUCCCAAAUGAGGGGUUCCUAACUGCGGGUUGUCCAAAAAGUGCAUCUAAAACAUGGAAGGCUAUAAUUGUAGGGAGAGAGAUGCUCAAGAAAGGACUAAUUCGACGAGUGGGAGAUGGAUCAAAAACCGAAGUGUGGCAUGAUCAUUGGAUAGAGGGCUCCACGUCCAUGACUCCAAUGGGUGCACUCAAGCCGAAUUCUAUUCAGCUUGUGGCUGACUUGAUUGAUCCGGAGACAAACCAAUGGGACGUAGAUAACAUCCGAAGUCUGUUUUUUUCCCCGGAUGCGGAUGCGAUCUUGGCCAUGCCUAGACCGAGAGCAGGAGGUACAGACAUAUGGGCAUGGGCCUGGGAGAAGUCGGGCUUUUUCAUAGUCCGGUCAGCCUACCGGCAAACGAUGCAAGCAAAGCUUCAGCUGUCGGCAAUGGUAGGAUCAUCCUCUGGCGAUGAAGGAGUAUGGCGUGCAUUGUGGAAGCUGAAUGUGCUUCCUAAGAUUCGAGUUUUCUGGUGGCGCGUGCUUAAAGGCUUCUUACCAAAUUAUGGUGAGCUUCGACACGACAUAUCAAGCAGACGCCGAACUGUCCAAUGUGUGGACAUGACAAUGAAAUUCUGUUUCAUUCACUGA
RNAcentral lists this ribosomal RNA (762 nucleotides) under Triticum aestivum (bread wheat). RNAcentral's name for it is "partial small subunit ribosomal RNA". The record is from RNAcentral. Lineage: Eukaryota; Viridiplantae; Streptophyta; Magnoliopsida; Poales; Poaceae.